This 3252-nucleotide unclassified non-coding RNA is filed under the name Hevea brasiliensis (rubber tree). The record is from RNAcentral. Lineage: Eukaryota; Viridiplantae; Streptophyta; Magnoliopsida; Malpighiales; Euphorbiaceae.
UGAUUUCCUUCGAGCCCCUGGAGUUCAAACCCCUGUCAUUGUCCGUUUCUCAACUGUUAUCCAUGAGCGUGGCAGCCCUGAAACCCUCAGGGAUCCUCGAGGUUUUGCGACUAAGUUCUACACUAGAGAGGGUAACUUUGAUAUUGUGGGAAACAAUUUCCCUGUCUUCUUCAUCCGUGAUGGAAUAAAAUUCCCAGAUGUGAUACAUGCCUUUAAGCCCAAUCCAAAGUCUCACAUCCAAGAGUACUGGAGGAUCUUUGACUUCUUAUCACACCAUCCCGAGAGCUUGAGCACCUUCGCCUGGUUUUUUGAUGAUGUUGGAAUUCCCCAAAAUUAUAGACACAUGGAAGGUUUUGGUGUUCACGCCUUUUCUUUCAUCAAUAAGGCUGGAAAAGUAACCUACGUGAAAUUUCACUGGAAACCCACAUGCGGGGUCAAAUGUUUGAUGGAUGAUGAGGCACUUAAGAUAGGAGGUGCCAACCACAGCCAUGCUACGCAGGAUUUAUAUGACUCCAUUGCCGCUGGAAACUUUCCUGAGUGGAAACUCUUUAUCCAGACAAUGGAUCCAGCAGAUGAAGACAAAUUCGACUUUGAUCCGCUUGAUAUGACCAAGAUCUGGCCUGAGGAUAUUUUUCCCCUGCAGCAAAUUGGCCGUUUGGUCUUGAACAGGAACAUCGAUAACUGGUUUGCUGAGAAUGAGAUGCUUGCAUUCGACCCUGGUCAUAUUGUUCCUGGCAUUCACUUUUCAAACGACAAGUUAUUCCAGCUUAGGACCUUUGCCUAUGCUGAUACUCAGAGGCACCGUUUGGGACCCAACUAUAAGAUGCUCCCUGUUAAUGCCCCCAAGUGUCCUCAUCACAACAAUCACUACGAUGGUUUCAUGAAUUUCAUGCACAGAGAUGAGGAGGUAUUCAGCCUCUGUUUUUGUGGGUUUGUGUGCCGCGUGAAAUGUUUGUUACAAAAUUGGAUCAUACCACACUGUUUACACCUAAAAUAUGCCUUUCAAUGUCACUAAAAACCUCUAAUGAGAUUAUACAAGCAUUGACAGUUUGGGGAAAAUAUUUAUGUAUUGACUUGCUUAGGUGUACUUGUAGCUUCUGUUCUGAUCUGGUGCUAUGAUACUAUUUCUUAGGUCAAUUACUUCCCAUCCAGGUGUGAUCCAGUUCGCCAUUCUGAGAGAUUUCCCAUUCCUUCCACUAUCUGCAGUGGAAGGCGCGAUAAGUGUGUCAUUGAGAAGGAAAACAAUUUCGAGCAACCUGGAGAGAGAUAUAGAUCCUGGGCACCUGACAGACAAGAAAGAUUCCUCUGCAGAUUGGUUAACGCUUUAUCAGACCCGCGUAUCACCUACGAGAUUCGGGCUAUCUGGGUCUCAUAUUGGUCUCAGUGCGACAGAUCUCUGGGUCAAAAGCUUGCAUCUCGUCUCAAUGUGAGGCCAAAUAUCUAAAGGGUGAAGUUGAGCCUAUGUCGCAGAGAGGUGUUGAGGAGCACAAAAUCAUUGUCCAUCUCCACUUUGCUAUGUUGUAUAAUAAAUGAAUGUACUUAAUUAUCCAAUAAAUAAGAGAGAUGCUAUGCAUGAUAUGUGGCCUUCUGGAUUGAUUAUUUUCCAGUUUCUGUAAUUUCAAAGUCCAUAUAUAUCUUUUCCUGUAAUUUUGUGUUCUCACCCUGGACCCAAUCUACAGGUAUGCUUUCUCCUCUUUUCACAUUGUAUAAAAAAAGAAAAUAUCUUAUUAAAAACAGUGCAUUGGACGCUCAUCACUGGAAAAUCUGUUCUCUUAGAGUAGAUGAUUGUCAGACAAACCCAUUUGAAUUCUGUAAGAAAAUGUCAUGGAGAAAAACAACAGUUAGAUUUUUUUUUCUUUUCUUUUUAAAAAGGGGGUUGGAAAAGUUUUGAAUUAGAAUGUCAAAUGGAUAUUAUUUUUUCAAUUAUUAAAUUAAGUCAUAUUUUUUUAAUUAUUAAAUCAAGCAAGACUAUACGAGUAAAAUAACAGUUUGCUUUCGUUUAAUUUUGUUGAUAAACCAGGUAAUUUAUUCAAAUUAUUUGAUGUUGGACAUGUUAAGUGCUAAUAAUUGAUCAUGGUAUCAUUAUUGCCAGAGGGCAGAGGAUGGGCAGCAUAUUUCAUUCCAAUCCCUGAAUGAGCUGGCAAGCAAGUUGUUAAAAUCUUGAAUUCCUUCUGGUCCACCACCAUCUUUCAGAAUUUGGAGGUCUAAUCUCUGUCUCACUUUCCUCUUUAAUAAUUGAUGGAAUAUUUAAUUUUUUGCAGGAAUGCUUUUGGAUUUUCAUAUAUGCAUGACGACCCGCAAUCAACCCAGUAAGUUUUACUUUACCUGGACAACUUUAAUUUUCUGUUCUUAUUAUCUCGUCUUUGUCUAUUAUCACAUCAUAGGCCUGGUUGUAGUUUGGUUCGGUAAUAGAAUCGGACCAGUCCAUCCUGAAACUGAAAUCAGAUUGAAGUCGACUAAAAUCGAAUGGUCAUAAAAAAAAUUGAAAAGAAAAACCGUUAUAUUUAAUCAUAAUUGAAACCGAGUCUUAAAUCAGAAUCCUAGGUCUCGGACCAAACCGAUAGCACCCCCCCAUCACAUCAUGUUGAUUUAUUCUCAAGUAAUAAAUGGGCCGGGUAGCAUAGCAUUACCCCGACCCACGAAAACUUGGGCCAAACUCAAAUCCUUGGAAAGCAGUUUAAAACUUACAAAUGGCCCAGGAUGCAGCAUUCGUAGCUCAGCUUAACCUCAGAGCCUACAGUGCACAGCCCAUAAUCGAUUUUAGGAGCAUUCGCAUUUUCUCUCUUCAAUUUUUAAAGCUGCUUCUGCUUCCUUCAAAUCUGCCUUGGAAUUUCCUUUUAAAUGAAAACAAAAAGCCUUGGACCACACGCUUCAAGGCGUCUAUUGUGAACGUGUCAUCAAACCAAUGGUCCAUGUGGUCGUGAGUUGGUUUUAGCAGUGCACCUGGAUAGGGAACCAUCGCUUGAUGAGUCACGUCUUCAAUUAUUUUAUUCAUUUAUUUUAUUAUUUUCUUUGUCUCGAUUUUCCCACCAAUCUAUAUUUAAAUCGUGACAUCGUUGUGAGUCUUACCGUCUUGCAAAAAGAUCGUCCAAAUUCCAAAUUUAUCCCGACUUAUUUAAUUUUUAAUAAAAUAAUAUGUGUUGAUACACUAAAUAAAAUUUAUUUAUCAAUUUAAUUAUAUUAAUUAUAUUUUUUAAUUCACAUAAAAAUAUAAUAGAAGUAAAAUCUAUCUGACGUGAUGGAGCAUUUUAU